AUUGAACGCUGGCGGCAUGCCUUACACAUGCAAGUCGAACGGCAGCACGGGAGCAAUCCUGGUGGCGAGUGGCGAACGGGUGAGUAAUAUAUCGGAACGUGCCCAGUAGUGGGGGACAACCAGUCGAAAGAUUGGCUAAUACCGCAUACGCACUAAGGUGGAAAGCGGGGGAUCGCAAGACCUCGCGCUACUGGAGCGGCCGAUAUCAGAUUAGGUAGUUGGUGGGGUAAAGGCUCACCAAGCCGAGGAUCUGUAGCUGGUCUGAGAGGACGACCAGCCACACUGGGACUGAGACACGGCCCAGACUCCUACGGGAGGCAGCAGUGGGGAAUUUUGGGCAAUGGGCGCAAGCCUGAUCCAGCCAUGCCGCGUGUGGGAAGAAGGCCUUCGGGUUGUAAACCACUUUUGUCAGGGAAGAAACGGUUUGGGCUAAUACCUCAAACUAAUGACGGUACCUGAAGAAUAAGCACCGGCUAACUACGUGCCAGCCGCCGCAGUAA
This 500-nucleotide ribosomal RNA is filed under the name uncultured bacterium. RNAcentral's name for it is "partial 16S ribosomal RNA". It matches the Rfam family "Bacterial small subunit ribosomal RNA", at positions 30 to 523 of the family's 1533-position model. The record is from RNAcentral.